UCCUGUUGCAUCCCUGGGGAUUUGCUUCAGCUCCCAAAUAAAGAACAGGCUGAUUUUGUGCUCCCCUCACGCUGGUUUCCAUGUCCCAGUGGAUAAAGCUGGAAAUCAGAACUGGUUGAAGAGUGAGGGUUCAAUGGCACCGACUCCUCGUGCCCUGGCUGUGCUGCAGACCUCGGGGGCAAGGUGCUGGAUAGAAAUUGCUCUGAUUAUUUAAAGCUCUCUGUGUAUUUGAUUUUGGCCACAUCAGUAAAGACUCACUGGUGUCUUUUGAGCAUCAGAGGUCCUUUCCAGCAUCAGAGGCUCUUCAGAAGACUACUCUGAAAUAUCAGGAUUCUCUGUCUACUGGGUCCUGCUAGCGAGAAGUGAAAGAGCUUAAUCUGCACAAAAAACAAUUCCAGAGUAACUCCUGGAAAUGUUUUAAUUUGAUUUCUCUUUCUUACCAUGUUAUUCUGUUCUGCGGGGUGUGAUAUUUGCACAAUAUAAUGAAAAGAGUUUUAGGAGAGACAUGAGCUCUGUCUUGGCUGCCAUGAAGAGAAUCAGCCCUGAGAUCUGUGUUUUCAGGAAGCUCUGCUCCAGUUCUGUUGCCCUUCCAAUGGAAUUCUUAGCCCAUGUUUGUCAUGGGCCUGCUAAACCUGCUGGAAUUUUGGCUUUUGGCUCCUUUCUUUACAACAGAUUAAGCAUCAAAGCACAGAUGACAGAUGGGAAGUGUGGUGGGAGGGAUGAACUCAGAACCUAAGGAAGGGAGAGGAAGGAGAAUUUCCAUGGGCUGAGAAGUUUUGUCCAUUCCAGUGUCUCCAUUUGCCAUGGACAGUUUGUACAAUGAAAUAUUCCAGGGUUGUUGGGUCUGUCCUUGUGGAAUGGCUCUUUCCACCCAUCUACAGGAGGGACAGUGGAGUGGAGAAGAGAGAACUCAGGGCUGCAGGACAGAUUUCCUGAGGGAAGGACACCCUGUGGGGAUCCACCCUUCCUCCCAUGGCUGUGAAGUCACGUCAGAUGUAAAGCCAAAACUCCCAGUGUGGGUACUUUAUCUAGAUUAUAAACAUUCACCUGCUUCUAAUCUUCCAUUUGCCUCUUAAUUAGAGCCUUAAUUGCUUCUUCUCUGAGACCAUUAAGGAGCUGACAGGCACUGCACAGCUCAAUUUGGUCCUUCAAGGUCCUAAUUCAGAGGCCACCAGAGACUGAAUCCUACUCCACAGAAAUCCCAACUAAGGAAAAUUUCCAAAAUUGGGAAGAAAAGACAUCUUGGAGAGCACUGUGACUUUCUUGAAAUUAUUUUUGGGAAUAUUGGGAAUGAAGCGAGCAAGAGCACGGCAGGAGACACAAGGAAACAAUAUUCUACAGCUGGCAGUGAAUAAGCACCAAUGGGAGAAGUGAAAAGAUCUUUUAGAAAUAUGGGAGGGAGCAGAGUUCUCCAAAAAUACAUCCCAGCGUUUUGAACUGCAGGCUGCCCAGACAGACUUCAUAUCUGGAGAUCAGACUGAGCAAACAAGAGCAUGGGGAGAAGCUGAGCGUGGCCGAGCUGAAGCUGAGCACGUUCAAGUUGCUGGUGUCAUCUUGGGAAGUGCUCUGGAAUGGAAAAGACACUUCAGUGGCCCCCAGCACGUCUCCAAGGGGCUCAGGAAUCACAUCUACACUUGGAGAGCAGGUGGAACGUGUUCAGUGAGCUAAUCCUGCCUGGGGAAUCCUCUGACCUGGAUUAGGCUGAGGUGCCCUUUGCAGAGAAUCCUCCCUUUGCUUCUGCCAGGUGGGGAUCGUGUGGGACACGGGUCCUGGUCCCUCCUGUCAUCCCUUAGGGUCUGAGCUGAGUCUGGAGCUCCAAGGACUGAGCAGCUCUGCAGUGCUGUGUCUCUGGGCUAAAACUGCUGGAGAACUCGCCUGAAAUGAUGCUGGAAGCAGAGUUUAAGUGUCUGGAAUCACAGGAUUCUAGGAAGGGUUUAAGUGUGUAGAAUGGCAGGAUUUUAGGAAGAGUUUAAUGUCUGCAAUCACAGGAUUUAAAGAACAGUUUAAGUGUGUAGAAUCACAGGAUUUUAGGAAGAGUUAAGGUGUCUGCAAUCACAGGAUUCUAGGAAGACUCUGCUGGUCAUUGAUGGGGGUGCCAGCCCAGCUUCCCACUGUGACUUUCUGCUUGGAAAACAGGAGCAGGGCCGGAGUUAAAGCAAAUUUUGGGGUCCUGUCACUCCUCUGGCCAUGGAAAUCAUGAGCCCUGCAGUGAAUAAUAUGUGUAGGCUCAGGAGUGAUGAGAAAAGACAGGAUUUUGGGGCACCUCUGUGUGCUUGUUCCUGGUUUAGGAAGGAACAGUGUUGACAGUGGAGGUCUCUGGGAGUGUGGAAAGAACUGGAACCUUUCUCCAUGCCCAGAGAGACUUUGGAGGGAUUGCAAAGACAGGAGGUGGAAAACAAAGCUCUUCUUGGGCAAGUCUGAUAUGUGAUCAGCACAGAAUUAUUUAAUAAUAUCUGAUCUGUUAGGUAAUCCCUAAAUACCUGUCUUGUUGAGCUCUUACCUUGCAAUAUGAGUUACUGCUUGAAUCUGAAUAUUACAUUUGAACAUUUAGGGGUGAGGGAGCAGCUGGAGUUGUGAAGAGCUGAGGAAGUAAUUGGGGAGAAAGGUGUGAGAGAUGGACAAAAAGCCAUUAUCAAACAUUCAUAACAGGUUUGCAAAGUACAGCACUACCCAGAGAAUAAAGCUGUUGAACAAAUGUGUAAUCCCUUUCUCCUGAAAGCGAGAUACAGCAAAAUUGUAGUUGAAAUACUCCUAAUCAGCAUCUCUUUUUAUUUCCCACAAACAUUGCUCCCUGAUUUCUUGCUAUUCCUUGUAGUUUUGACUAUUGUGAAAUUGUAAUUGCCUCCUUUAAGUCUCACAGUCCUCUUCAGCAAUAAAACUCAUCUUUUCCACCUGUGGAGAAAUCUUCCCGAAGGAAACAUCCCAGUGAGAUGGGAAUGCCUUUCCCUGCUGCCAUUUAGAACUCCCCUCCUGCUAAUGCCUCUGAUUUUCUGUGUUAGAAUAAACAACAACAAAAUGUUUUGUUGGAAACAGUAAAAUUAAAGUGGGAUAGAAGUGAAAAGAAUUGCUGGCAACUCCAGGGAAGUGGGGAUGUGUGAGAUGUUAAACCUUGUCCAAGUCUCACACCCAGCAGCAGGAGAUGUUAAAACACUUAAAAUAGAAAGGAGAGCUGCAGAAUGGAGAGCCCAUGUGUUCUCAUUGUUCCUGGAAUGAAGAUGAUCCAGUUUGGAGCAGAAGCCACUCACUCCUGACCCUGCUUAUACUGCCUUGGUCAUAUCCUGGAGCACAAUGAAAUCCACUUUUGUUCUUUGUCUUGCAGAAACACUCAGGUGGGAGAAAUUCUGGGUUUUUUUUCUUCCUUUCACCUGCAUCCCCUUAAGGAACAGUUGCAGAGGAUAAAUAUUACUUCUUUGAAGAGCAGCAGAAAAUUCAAGUGAGAAACUCUAACCCCAGCAAUGUUUAUUUGGAAAGAGAACAAAAUCUACUGAGAGGUUUUGAAGGGUUGAAAUUGCUUAAAUCCAUAUCAGAAAGAGAUAUUUGCUAGGACUGGGCAAGGUUAAGGGGUAAAUACGGCAAUUCAUCCGAGAGAAAUCAAACCCACAAUAAAUCAGUCAAAGGGGCUGCAGUGAAGAGGGGAACAGCUUUAUACAAUAUUUGUCUGGUCAAUAGCACUAUUUACAGUAUGAAUAACCAUCCAAGUGAGCAUUUUAUUGCUUUGCACACAUAUUUUCCACAGCUGGUGUGUGUGGUUGUUUCUGUAGCUGUAAAACCUUCUGCAGAUGCUGCUCUCAAAGCUGCCCAUGUGUCAGAAUUAUAAAUGCACCCUAUUCCGAGUUUAUUUGUAAAAUUAUCCCUCUGAACCUGAAGUUCUCCAUCUGGCUUUGCUGCUUGUUUUUCUGACAGCUACAA
Cyanistes caeruleus (blue tit) is the source of this 3909-nucleotide long non-coding RNA. RefSeq lists it as uncharacterized. The record is from RefSeq and is a predicted model, not a curated record. Lineage: Eukaryota; Metazoa; Chordata; Aves; Passeriformes; Paridae.